This is a long non-coding RNA of Phyllopteryx taeniolatus (common seadragon), 340 nucleotides long. RefSeq lists it as uncharacterized. NCBI's taxonomy places the organism in Eukaryota, Metazoa, Chordata, Actinopteri, Syngnathiformes, Syngnathidae. The record is from RefSeq and is a predicted model, not a curated record. The transcript has 3 exons.
GACAUCUGCUCUCUUGCGGCUGGCGAGCAAGCACUCUGAGGUGGCCAGGCCAGUGGGAAGCACCAGUUUCUGGCUGGUUCUCUUUUCGUCCCCCUGUUCCCUGCCCCGCAACGUUCAAGCGACACUAAACACUCAAAGACAAAGGUCUCUUCUUCACAUUUCCAACUACUACAGCAGUUUGCAAUUUGUUGCCAGUGUCGUCCGAUCCUCUCCAGUUCUGUCAGGUUGGAUGGUGAACAGCAAUUUUCAGGUCUCUCCAGAGAUGCUCAAUUGGGUUUAAGUCAGGGCUCUGGCUGGGCCAUUCAAGAACAGUCACAGAGUUGUUCUGAAGUCACUCCUU